This 346-nucleotide unclassified non-coding RNA is filed under the name soil metagenome. Its description in RNAcentral is "partial contains 5.8S ribosomal RNA, internal transcribed spacer 2, and large subunit ribosomal RNA". The stretch from base 1 to 120 matches the Rfam family "5.8S ribosomal RNA", at positions 35 to 154 of the family's 154-position model. The record is from RNAcentral.
GAUGAAGAACGUAGCGAAAUACGAUACGUAAUGUGAAUUGCAGAAUUCAGUGAAUCAUCGAGUCUUUGAACGCACAUUGCGCCCCCUGGUAUUCCGGGGGGCAUGCCUGUCCGAGCGUCAUUGCUGCCCUCAAGCCCGGCUUGUGUGUUGGGUCUCGUCCCCCUUCCCGGGGGGACGGGCCCGAAAGGCAGCGGCGGCACCGCGUCCGGUCCUCGAGCGUAUGGGGCUUUGUCACCCGCUCUGUAGGCCCGGCCGGCGCUUGCCGAUCAACCAAAACUUUUUUCCAGGUUGACCUCGGAUCAGGUAGGGAUACCCGCUGAACUUAAGCAUAUCAAUAAGCGGAGGA